RNAcentral lists this ribosomal RNA (427 nucleotides) under uncultured bacterium. Its description in RNAcentral is "partial 16S ribosomal RNA". It matches the Rfam family "Bacterial small subunit ribosomal RNA", at positions 355 to 774 of the family's 1533-position model. The record is from RNAcentral.
UGGGGAAUAUUGGACAAUGGGCGAAAGCCUGAUCCAGCCAUGCCGCGUGUGUGAAGAAGGUCUUCGGAUUGUAAAGCACUUUAAGUUGGGAGGAAGGGCAUUAACCUAAUACGUUAGUGUUUUGACGUUACCGACAGAAUAAGCACCGGCUAACUCUGUGCCAGCAGCCGCGGUAUUACAGAGGGUGCAAGCGUUAAUCGGAAUUACUGGGCGUAAAGCGCGCGUAGGUGGUUUGUUAAGUUGGAUGUGAAAUCCCCGGGCUCAACCUGGGAACUGCAUUCAAAACUGACUGACUAGAGUAUGGUAGAGGGUGGUGGAAUUUCCUGUGUAGCGGUGAAAUGCGUAGAUAUAGGAAGGAACACCAGUGGCGAAGGCGACCACCUGGACUAAUACUGACACUGAGGUGCGAAAGCGUGGGGAGCAAACA